This 6360-nucleotide long non-coding RNA is filed under the name Homo sapiens (human). RNAcentral describes it as "non-protein coding lnc-CENPP-7:1". The record is from RNAcentral. Lineage: Eukaryota; Metazoa; Chordata; Mammalia; Primates; Hominidae.
UGAUCCACCCACCUCAGCCUCUCAAAGUGCUGGAAUUACAGGCGUGAGCCACCGUGCCCAGCCCAUUUUUUCCUUUUCUAAUGCUAUUGUUUCCUUAUGUAGAUCCAAAUUUUAGACCUGUAUCAUUUUCCUUCUCUCUGAAGAACUUUAAACAUUCUUUGCAAGGCAGGUCUACUGGUGAUAAAUUCCCUAAGUUUUGGUUUAUGUGAGAAAGUAUUUAUCCUCCACUUUUGAAGGAUAGUUUCACUGGAUACAAAAGUCUAGGUUUGUAGUUUUGUUUUCCUUUGAAAACUUUCUAUCACUCUAAUCUCUUCUUGUUUGCAAGGCUUUUGAAGAGAAUCUGAGGUAAUUCUUACCUCUGUUCCUCUGUAGGUAAGGUGUUUUUUCCCUCUGGCUUCUUUCAAUAUUUUCUCUUUGUCUUUUGUUUUCUGCUAUGUCUAGGUGUAGGUUUUUUGGCACAUAUCCUGCUUGGUAUUCUUUUGAGCUUUCUAGAUCUGUGGUUAGGAAUCUGUCAUCAAUUUUUUAAAAUUCUCAAUUAUUAUUUCAAGUACUUCCUCUGUUCCCUUUUCUCUUUCUUCUCCUUCUGGUAUUCCCAUUAUGUGUAUGCUACACUUUUUGUAAUUGUACCAAAGUUCUUGGAUAUUGGAUUCCAUUUGUUCAUUCCUUUUUCUCUUUGCUUUUCAGUUUGGGAAAUUUCUAUUGACAUAUCUUGAAGCUCACUGAUUCUUUCCUUGACAAUGUCCAGCCUACUAGUAAGCCCAUCAAAAGCUUUCUUUACUUCUGUUAUAGUGGUUUUUAUCCCCUUUUGAUUCUUUGGGUUUCCAUUCCUUUGCUUACAUUACCCAUCUGUUCUUGCAUAUUGUUCACUUUUGCCAUUAGAGCCCUUAACAUGUUAUUCAUACUUAUUUUAAAUUCCCAGUCUAAUAAUUCCAAAAUCUCUGCCAUAUCUGAGUCUAGUUCUGCUGCUUGCUUUGUCUCUUGAGACUGUGUUUUUUUACCUUUUAGCAUGCCUUGUAAUUUUUUGUCAAAAGCCAGACAUAAUAUAUUGGGUAAAAUAAACUGAGGCAAAUAGGCCUCUAGUGUGAGGUUUUAUGUUUAUUUGGCUAGAAGUUAGGCUUUGUUUACUGUUUGGCAUAGCUGUAGGUGUCAGAGGCUAAAUUUCCCCUCUCUCUCUCUUUUUUUUUUUUUGUUUUGUUUCCCCUGGAGACUUCUUAAUAGGGUCUGAGCCUUGCAGUUCCUUCCACUGUAAUCCCUAAUCCCCUGUGUUGUGCUUUUUGUUUUGUUUUGUUUUGUUUUUUUGUGAGACGGAGUCUCAUUCUGUCACCCAGGCUAGAGUGCAGUGGCACUAUCUUGGCUCACUGCAACCUCCACCUCCCAGGUUCAAGCGAUUCUCCUGCCUCAGCCUCCCAAGUAGCUGGGACUACAGGCACAUGCCAUCACGCCUGGCUAAUUUUUGUAUUUUUGGUAGAGACGGGGUUUUGCCAUGUUGGCCAGGCUGGUCUCAAACGCCUGACCUUGUGAACUGCCAACCUCAGCCUCCCAAAGUGCUGGGAUUACAGGUGUCAGCCACUGCGCCUGGCCAUCCCUUGUUAUUAUUAAACAGGAGCCCAACUGAUAUGGUGGUAAAAUGUCAGGCAAUGAUAAAUGAUCUAUAACCCCAUGGUUAUCUCAGUCUUUUGGUGGGUCUGGGCUCCCUGGGAUGUUACAGUCACAGGUGCUUUUGGCUUUUUUCCCUCCUUAGAUGAGACAGGAGGGCUACAUAGAGCUGAUGUUAGGAAUUUCCAUCUUUCCAAGUUAGUGAGGCUCUGGUGAAACAGUUUCCCUUGAGGCCAGGCCUUUGUUAGAGAGAACAGAGAGCUCUGGGCAUAUUGCAACAUAGCUACUUUCCUCUUGCCUGCCAGUAGCAGGACGCUUUUCUUUGUUCUAAGUCUAAGAACUUGGAGGGGCUCCUGAAGGUAAAGCUUACAAAGCACCGAUUAAUGCAAGUAUCCUUGUUUUAUCUCCUAGGGAGAUAGGCAGUCAGUCUUUCACCAUUGAGUAUAAUGUUAGGUGUGGAUUUUUCAUAAAUGCCCUUAUCACACUGAGGAAAUUCCCUUCCAUUCUUGGUUUUCUGAGUUUUUUUUUUUUUAAUCAUAAAAGAGUUAGAUUUUGUCAAAUACUUUUCUUAUAUCAGCUGAAAUAAUCAUGUGGUUUUCUUUCUCUUCAUUCUGUUAAUGCGGUGUAUUACACUGAUUUUCUUAUGUUGAACUACCCUUGCAUUCCUGUAAUAAAUCUUGCUUUGUCAUACUGUAUAAUACUUUUAAUAUUCUGUUACAUUGAGUUUGCCAUUAUUUUAUUGAGAAUUUUUUACAUUUACAGUCAUAUGGAAAUAUUGCUUUUUUUUUUUUCUUGUGGUGUCUUUAGGUAGCUUUGGUAUACAUGUAAUAAUUGCUCCAUAGAAUGAGUUAAAAAGUGUUCCUUUUUAGGGAAGAAAACUUUUUUAAAAAGGAGGUUUGGUGUUCAUUAUUCUUUUCUUUUUUUUUUAGACAGAGUUUUGCUCUUGUUGCCCAGCCUGGAGUGCAAUGGCACGAUCUCAGCUCACUGCAACCUCCGCCUCCCGGAUUCAAGCAAUUCUCCUGCCUUAGCCUCCCAGGAGCUGGGAUUACAAGCAUGCGCCACCAUGCCUGGCUAAUUUUUUUUGUAUUUUUAGUAGAGAUAGGGUUUCUCCAUGUUGGUCAGGCUGGUCUCAAACUCACAACCUCAGGUGAUCCGCCUGCCUCCGCCUCCCAAAGUGCUGGGAUUACAGGCAUAAGCCACCGUGCCUGGCCAGUGUUCAUUAUUCUUUAAGCGUUUUGUAGACUUCAAUAAGAAAGUCCUGUAGUUUGAGAUGUUUUUUUUGCUGGGAGGUUUUAAAUUACUGAUUUAAUCUAUUUACAUAUUAUAGGCUUGUUCGUAUUUUCUAUUUCAUCUUGAGUCAGUUUUGAUAAUUUGUGUGUUUCUAGGAAGUUGUCUUUCAUCUAGGUUAUCUAAUUUGUUGGUGUUCAUCGUUUUUUCUCUUACAUUUCAUUUCUUCUCUUACAUUUCAUUUCUGUAAGGUUGAUAGUAAUGUCUCCACUUCUAUUGCUGAUUCUAGUUAUUCACAUUUCUUCUUUUUUUCUUUGUCAGUCAAGCUAAAGGUUUGUAGAUUUGUUAUUUUUAUUUAUUUUUUUUGGAGACGGAGUCUCACUCUGUUGCCCAAGCUGGAGUGCAGUGGUGUGAUCUCAGGUCAACCUCCAACUCCUGGGUUCAAGCGAUUCUUGUGCCUCAGCCUCCCAAGUAGCUGGAAUUACAGGCACCCACCACCACAUCCGGGUACUUUUUUGUAUUUUAAGUAGAGACAGGGUUUCACCAUUUUGGCCAGGCUGGUCUCAAACUCCUGACCUCAGGUGAUGUACCUGCCUUGACCUCUCAAAGUGCUGGGAUUACAGGUAUGAGCCACCAUGCCCAGCCUUAUUUAUUGACUUUUUAAUUGUAGUCAUUCUGACUGGUGUGAGACGGUAUUUCAUUGUGGUUUUGAUUUGCAUUUCUCUAAUGAUUAGUGAUGUUGAGCACUUUUUCAUACAAUUGUUGGCAAAGUGUAUGUCUUCUUUGAGAAGUAUCUGUUCAUGUCCUUUGCCCAUUUUUUAAUGGGGUUGUUUGUUGCUUGUUGAUCUGUUUAAGUUCCUUAUAGAUUCUGGAUAUUAGAUCUUUGUCAGAUGCAUAGUUUCUGAAUAUUUUCACUCACUCUUUCUGUAGGCUGUCUGCUUAUACUGUUGAUUGUUUCUUUUGCUAUGCAGAGGCUCUUUAAUUUAAUUAGAUCCCACUUGUCAAUUUUUGUUUUCAUUGCAACUGCUUUUGGAGUCUGUGUCAGGAAAUCUUUGCCAAGGCCUAUGUCCAGAAUAGUAUUUCCUGGGUUUUCUUCUAGGGUUUUUAUAAAAAGUUUUAGGUUAUUAUAUUUAAGUCUUUAAUUCAUGGAGUUUUCUUAAUAUGGUGAAAGGAAGGGUCCUAGUUUCAAUCUUCUACAUAUGGCUAGCCAGUUAUCCUAGCACCAUUUACUGAAUAGGGAGUCCUUUCCCUAUUGCUUGUUAUUGUCAGUUUUUCAAAGAUCAGAUGGCUGUAGGCGUGUGACUUUAUUUCUGGGUUCUCUAACCUGUUCCACCGGUGUAUGUGGUCUGUUUUUGUACGAGUACUAUGUUGUUUUGGUUACUGUAGCCUUGUAGUAUAGUUUGAAGUAGGUAGUGUGAAGCCUUGGGCUUUGUUCUUUUUGCUUAGGAUUGCUUUGGCUAUUCAAGCUCUUUUUUGGUUCCAUAUGAAUUUUAGAAUAGUUUUUUUCUAAUUCUGUGAAAAAUGGUGUUGGUAGUUUGAUAAGAUAGCAUUGAAUCUAUAAAUUGCUUUGGGAAGUAUGGCCAUUUUAACAAUACUGACUCUUCCUAUCCAUCCAUGAGCAUGGAAUGUUUUUCCAUUUGUUUAUGUCAUCUCUGAUUUCUUUCAGCAUUUUAUAAUUCUUGUUGUAGAGAUCUCUUACACCCCUGGUUAGCUGUAUUCCUAGGUAUUUUAUUCUUUUUUUUCUUUUUUUUUUCUUUGAGAUGGAGUCCCGCUCUGCCGCCCAGUCUAGAGCGCAAUGGCACCAUCUUGGCUCACUGCAACCUCCACCUCCCAGGUUCCAGCAAUUCUCCUGCCUCAGCCUCCCAAGUAGCUGGGAUUACAGGCGCCCACCACCACACCCAGUUAAUUUUUUUAUUUUUAGUAGAGAAGGGGUUUCACCAUGUUGGCCAGGCUGGUCUUGAACUCCUGACCUCAGGUGACCCACCCACCUCAGCCUCCCAAAGUGCAGAGAUUACAGGCAUAAGCCACUGUGCCCAGCUGGCAUUUUAUUCCUUUUGUGCCAAUUAUGAAUGGGAUUGUGUUCUUCAUUUAGCUCUCAGGUUGAAUGUUAUUGGUGUAUAGAAAUGCUACUGGGUUUUGUACAUUGAAUUUUGUACCUUGAAACUUAACUGAAGUUGUUUAUCAGUUCUAGGGCCCUUUGGGCACAGACAUUAGGGUUUUCUAGGUAUGGAAUCAUAUCAUCUGUGAAGAGAAAUAGUUUGACUUCCUCUCUUCCUAUUCAGAUGCCUUCUAUUUCUUUCUCUUGCCCGAUUGCUCUGGCUAGGUCUUCCAGUACUAUGUUGAAUAGGAGUGGUGAGAGUGGGCAUCUUUGUCUUGUUCUGGUUCUCAUGGGGAAUGCUUCCAGCUUUUGCCUGUUCAGUAUGAUGUUGGCUGUGUGUUUGUGAUAGAUGGCUCUUAUUAAUUUGAGGUAUGUUCCUUCAAUACCUAGUUUGUGGAGGGCUUUUAACAUGAAAGGAUGUCGAAUUUUUUCAAAAGCCUUUUCUGCAUCUAUUGAGAUGAUAAUGGGGUUUUUGUUUUCAGUUCUGUUUAUGUGAGAAAUCACAUUUAUUUAAUUGUAUAUGUUGAACCAACCUUGCAUCCCAGGAAUAAAGCUUACUUGGUCAUAGUGGAUUAGCUCUUAAAUGUGCUGCUGGAUUCAAUUUGCUAGUGUUCUGCUGAGGAUUUUUGCAUCUAAUUUUAUCAGGGAUAUUAGCUUAAAGUUUUAUUUUUUUCACCAGGUUUUGGUAUCAGAAUGAUUCCGGCCUCAUAGAAUAAAUCAGGGAGGAGGUCUGUCUCCUCAAUUUUUUAGAAUUGUUUCAGUAGGAUUUGUACCAGCUAUUCUUUACAUGUCUGGUAGAAUUCAGCUGUGAAUCCAUCUGGUCCAGGGCUUUUUCUGGUUGGUAGGUUUUUGUUGUUGUUGUUGUUGUUGUUACUAUUGAUUCAAUUUUGGAACUUGUUAUUGGUCUGUUCAAGUAUUCAAUUUCUUCCUGGUUCAAUAUUGGUAAGUUGAAUGUUUACAGCAAUUUAUCCAUUUCUUCUAGGUUUUCUAGUUUGUGUGCAUAGAGAUGUUCAUAAUACUUUCUGAGGGUUUCUUGUAUUUCAGUGAGGCCAGUGGUAAUGUCACCGUUGUCAUUUCUGAUUGUGUUUCUUUGGAUCUUCUCUCUCUUUUUUUCUUUAUCAGUCUAGCUAGAGGUCUAUGAGUCUCAUUUUUUUUUUCACCAUAAACAUAUAUCAUUUUUAUUUGACAAUUAAAAUAAGUUAAUUAAUUGAUAAUAAUAAUAAAAUUGAGUAUAGUAGCUCAGUCAUUCACUCCUUGUACUUUUUGACUCUAUCUUCUUCAGAGAGGACAAAUUCAGCACUGUUCUUGGCUGUGAGAUCAAUAGCGCUCCACUGCAGGGAAGACCUAUGGGUUACAUGUCUGUCCACACCUGGGGUUUACUCUCUUUUUUUUUAUUAUACUUUAAGUUUUAGGGUACAUGUGCACAACGUGCAGGUUAG